UGGGGAAUUUUGGACAAUGGGCGCAAGCCUGAUCCAGCAAUGCCGCGUGCAGGAUGAAGGCCUUCGGGUUGUAAACUGCUUUUGUACGGAACGAAAAGGCUCUGGCUAAUACCUGGGGCACAUGACGGUACCGUAAGAAUAAGCACCGGCUAACUACGUGCCAGCAGCCGCGGUAAUACGUAGGGUGCGAGCGUUAAUCGGAAUUACUGGGCGUAAAGCGUGCGCAGGCGGUUUUGUAAGACAGAGGUGAAAUCCCCGGGCUCAACCUGGGAACUGCCUUUGUGACUGCAAGGCUGGAGUGCGGCAGAGGGGGAUGGAAUUCCGCGUGUAGCAGUGAAAUGCGUAGAUAUGCGGAGGAACACCGAUGGCGAAGGCAAUCCCCUGGGCCUGCACUGACGCUCAUGCACGAAAGCGUGGGGAGCAAACAGGAUUAGAUACCCUGGUAGUCCACGCCCUAAACGAUGUCAACUGGUUGUUGGGUCUUAAUUGACUCAGUAACGAAGCUAACGCGUGAAGUUGACCGCCUGGGGAGUACGGCCGCAAGGUUGAAACUC
Molecule: ribosomal RNA, 554 nt
Filed under: uncultured bacterium
Lineage: Bacteria
Description: partial 16S ribosomal RNA
Rfam family: Bacterial small subunit ribosomal RNA
Source: RNAcentral